Molecule: long non-coding RNA, 4026 nt
Organism: Acinonyx jubatus (cheetah)
Lineage: Eukaryota; Metazoa; Chordata; Mammalia; Carnivora; Felidae
Exons: 3
Source: RefSeq, a predicted model, not a curated record
AGUGUUAAAUAGUUUAUUGAUAUCACUUAAAUUCUGUUCUCUCUCUCUCUCUUUCUUUUGAUUUUUGACAGAGAAUCACACUCAGUGUGGAGCCCCACAUGGGGCCGCAUCCCACGACCAUGAGAUCAGGACCUGAGCCAAAAUCAAGAGUCGGAUGUUUAACUGACCGAGGCACCCAGGCUCUUAACCUAGGGAGCCUCGGACACCCACAGACAGCACACAGGAAGCGUUUAUGAGGUGCGGAUCCAUAUUUUUCAUCAGAUUCUCAAGGUGGGCCAUGGCCUCCAGAAGGCUAAGGUGUGGGCCUGGGGGGAGCCUGCAGUGGCUGGGCUGGUGCAACGGGCAUGAAGGAGCGGCCAGAGCAGAACUAAGGGAGGAUGCAUGUUGCCCACUCACCCAGUUUCAACACCACUCUGAACCGAUGUCCCAACCCCACGGGGGUUACCAGUGUCCUGUUCCCAGAGACAUCGGGUGACAAAUGAUCUGGUCCGAGUCCCAUAUGCUCCUUGCGGUAUUUUUAGACACAUUCUGUUCACUGAGAGAAACUUCAAAUACUGCUGGGUGUCAUGGGCCCGCGACAUGACUGUUCCUUGGGUGGGGUGGAAGGGUGAGAGAGACCCCAGGGACGGGGGCUGGGCUCCCCCGGGCACUCAAGCACAUGAUGAGGGAGCAGCAUUGUGACCUCAGAGGAGAGGGAAGCCAGUGAGCUCAGGUUCUAGGAAUGGACUAGAAACAACCCCUGAUGAAUCACAUACUCAAUCCAAUUUUCCUCUAGACUUCUAGCCACAGGCCUUCCUGAGAAUAAGUAGAAUGGAGAUUCGAGACACUUUUUAUUUAUGUCACAAGGAUGAGCAGAGUACUCACUGCUACCACCAGGCACGGUGAGGGGGAGUCUCACGUAGACGUAGAGUGUGAAGAAGGCACCUCCUAUCUGCGUGUGCAUUACACGAACAAGUAAUCACAAUGAAUGUGACAAGUUCUGUGCCAGAACCAUCAGACAGAGCUGUGGGACCACCUCCGGAGGAAACAGCAGUUACACCUUGGAGAAGGAGAAGCAGUACUAUUGGUGGUGACAUACCGGUUCAAUGGGAUAAACACGUAUCGAGUACCAGGCAUUGUCUUGGGAUGAGGGGAGGAGAUGUCUAGACACACAACGUCUGCUGUCAGGGAGCUCAAAGCCAGGUCCACAGACCUAGAAGCACAGAAAUGACAACCUAUCACAAACAGGCAGUGCAACUUAAAUGGCAGGCUAGCACAACUCUGGGGAUAACAAGGUGUGUGGUGUGUGUGUGUGUGUGUGUGUGUGUCUGCGUAUCUGUGUGUGUCUGUGUCCUGGAGAAAGGGAUGCCUGAGUUAGGUUUUGGAGGGUAAAUAAGAAUUUAUAGGGUUGCAGAUACAAAAAGCAUAGCUACAAAGGCUUUCCAAAGAGAAUCGUAAGUAAUACCACUUAAUAGAAUAUUCACUGGGGGCAAGUACUGUACUAAGUGCUUUGCAGACAUUAUCUCACACAGCAACUCACCACCACCACCCCUGCUUUUUUUUUUUUUUUUAACAUAAUCAUCCUUUCUUGGAUAAGAGAUACACUCAAUCCCCAAAAGGCCUACCAUACUCCAGACAUAUCUAUCUGUCCAUCUCUAUCUAAUUUGUCUAUCUGCUCAUCUUUCUAUCUUUUAUAUAUUUUUAUCUGACUUGAUUUGAUUUGAUUUUGAGAGAAAGAGAGAGCACAUGGGGGAGGGGCAGAGAGAGAGGGAGAGAAUCCCAAGCAGACGCCAUGCUCAAUGUGGAGCCCCCGACCGUCAGAACAUGACCUGAGCUGAAAUCAAGAGCUGGCCACUCAACCAGCUGAUCCACCCAGAUUUUAAUCUCUCUGGCAUCAGGAUGUAUAGUAGACUUUUUGCAAUAUGGCCACUGUCGUUCCUCUCCUUGAAUCCAUGUCCUUGGGUAAUCCUUUCCCACAUGGAUACUUGACUUAGUCAUGUGACUUGCUUCAGCCAAUGGAAUAGUGGCAAACACAAAGCAAGCCAAAGUUUGAAAAGCAGUUGUACGCUGGGGCUUAUCCCCUUUGCAGAGCUUGGAGCCCUGAGGCCACCAUUUUAGGACGGAUGAACUGCUUACUGGAGUGGACAUGUAGAAGAGAACCAAGGGACCCCAGCAAAUAUCCUGACAUCCAAGUGAGUGAGGCCAUUCCUGAGCCAUCCAGCCCAUAUAUCCACCAGCUGACUGGCUGCAAGAGAGAGCUCAGGAGAGACCAGCAGGGGAACUACCUGGUUGAACCAGCCCAAGUGCCAAGCCACAAAAUCAUGAGCUAAUAAAUGAUUGCUUUUUUAAGCCGCUAAAUUUUACAGUGAUUUGCUAUGCAGUAAAAGCUAAGCAGUACACAGUACAUCUUCCAGCUGAUGAUGUCAUAAUUAUAAUGGGAAGCAUGUUUUUUUCUUUCUCCGGGAUACAUAAAAUAAUGGUGCAUCUUACAAUUGAUUGUGACUUAGAUCAGAUGCAAUACAGUAUUACAUGCACUUGGCAGGUAAGAAAGCUAGGGAUCAGAAGGUUUCUUGCCCAAGGUCUAGAACCAGUAAGUUGUGGAAUUUGAAUCCAUGCUGUCCAACUCCAGGCCUUUGCUCUUACCCUGCAAGCACUUCCAUCCACCUGGAUGGGGGAGUGUCUGGAGAGCUGGUUGGUAGGAAAGCAGAGAUAGGUUAUGAAGGACAUCUUAGAAGUUCUUGUAAAGAGUUUGAUUUUGACAACGAAGAGCUAGUUGAACUGGAAGAUUGGAGUACUUAGAAUUUAUUUGACAUUGACUGAAUACAAUACUCAUACCACCUCAAGAAACAGAAAGUCGUGUUGUGGGGCUGCAGGGUAGAGUCUGGAAGGCCUGGAGUUGUCCAACAACUCACCCAGUGGGAAGAGGGGUGUACCCAUGGAAGUUACUGCCUACACAGCUGCGGACUAACUCUCCCUCGUAAAGUUAAUGAAGUCAGUGGAUCAAGUGCACUUGAACAAUAAAAGGGGUGGGGAGAAGGGAGGACUAUGGCUUAAUUAGGGCCACUGGAGACCAUGUGAUAAUCAGUAGUUACAGAGCAACAUCUGUUUGGUGGAAAUAUCUCAGAUUUCCCAGCAAAUCUGAGAUUCAUGGCAUACAGUGCCUGCUCUCUAGGUACUUACAUCUCCUGGGGGAAAUGGAUAUACGCCUAAUGUAGAUGUAACCUCAAAAUAGACUGAGUGACAAGCACCCAGCCACUGAUGCCAACCCCUUCUUUAACCAUCCACUUACCAAGGUCUGGAAUUUAAAGCCCAUUGGCCACCAAUAACUGAUGUGGCUACACUUCAGAUGACCAUGCUCAAAAGCAGUAGAUAUAGAAGAUCAAUAAUUGUCACAACUCUGCAGUUGGCAAUCACAAGUGGGAGAUUUUGAGACAAGGUCAUUGUCAACCUGUCCCUCAGCAUGUCCCAAAAAAGACUUUGACUCUCUUUAGCUUUUCUGGAAGAUUGAUCAAUCAAUUUUAGAGAGCUAUAGAUUUGGAUCUAGCCAGAAUUAGCCACAGAAGUUUAAUCGAGCCAAAAUGGGGCCAAGAAUAACUAAGAAGAGAGACUCAAACUUCUAUUAGGAAUUUUGUUCCACUGCAACAUCCCAUUUGGCUCCUGUUCGGUUGGCUACAGAAGUGUCUGGGAAAAAAGAAGGUGGAAAAGAGGCUUAAGACUGGAUUUCUACCGGGGCACCUGGGUGGCUCAGUCGGUUGAGUGUCCGACUUCAGCUCAGGUCACGAUCUUGCUAUCUGUGAGUUCAAGCCCUGCGUCAGGCUCUGUGCUGACAGCUGAAAGCCUGGAGCCUUCUUGGGAUUCUGUGUCUCCAUCUCUCUCUCUGUGCCUUGCCCGCUCACACUGUCUCUCAAAAAUGAAUAAAUGUUAAAAAAAAUUUUUAAAAAAAGACUGGGUUUCUACCUCUCCCGGAGUCACAAAAUGGAGCCCCCAACUAUGGAGUACAGAACCUUUAUUUAAUGACAAAACUGAGAUCGUGGGCUGUCAGUCCCA